UCCCUCCUGAGAAGGACCUUACUAACUUUCCCCCUAAAAGUGUCCUAUGAAUAGCUCCAGUCCCCAAACCCUUUAAAUUCUGGUCUCUGACUCACCCUUGUUUUAGGCAGUACUGGGACUCCACAGAGGUACGGCUCUUUGCUCAGCAAGUUUAAUAAAUCCAAGGUAGUAGAAUCAAUUUGUUUUCUUGGUCGUCUUGUUUUGAGGGAGUAGGUCUUCUAAAUGUUGAUUCUGAUCCCUGCCUAUGGAUAUUUAUGAAUAAAUAGAUAUUUGCACUCCAUCAUUAUGUGGAGCUACAAGUGUUAAAUUUAACUAUCUAAUUACCUCUAAAAUAACCACUAAAUUCAACAAUCUGAAACUUAUCUAAUUAGUUCCACAUCCUGGAAUGAAGGGAUUUAAUAGGUAAUAACAGAUCUCAGUCUCUAAUGGAGACAUAAUCACACAGACACCAGACGAAAGAUGAGUAAAGUGGAAAGCAAUAGGUAGAACAAUAAUUUGCUUUAUGCUAUGAUUUUUGGAGUGAAGCAAGAAAAUUAAUCAAGGAAACAAAGAAGAAAUCCAAGACGUAGUAGUGUUGGAUUUGCAUUUUUGUCAUAUGACACUACUUCUAUUCUACAGGAUUCACUUGGUCUCCAUCUGACCUCCUCAGAGUAGACUGCUCUUUCCCAAUCACUCCUGCAAUUACCCUAGGAGAUGUGUGAUCCUAAAGUAAGGGGGAAUUUUAAAUUUACUUCUAAGUACACCUGCAUGAUGCCAUUAGUCAGGGCAGGGUAGCUGAACAAACUCAGCUCUGAAUCCUUUAAGCAGAGGUAAUAAUUACUGACACUAUUUAAUCGGAUUCUGAACAUGAUGUGCCACUUUUCCUUUUGCGUCUGAAGUGACACCAGCCAUUUUCACAGUUUCUUCCACUAUGGUUAGUUUGAUAAGAGAAAUAUAAAGGCAAGUAUUUUUUUCACUCAGUUCACCUUGGUUCUAAGAGUGGGUUUAUAUAAAGAAAUGGAACGUGCUUCUGCUAAUUAAUAUUCAGGCAGAAAAAGUCAUGAAUUCCACUACAAACCCAUGUCCCUUCUUCCGAAGACAUGAGAAAUUGAUGAGGGUAUUCUUUCUUCUGUCGGUAAAACGAAGUCUGGGAUAUAGAUUGCAAUAUUAGCAGUGCCAUAGUGCAGAAUUUCUCAUAAUUAACACUUUUCACUUGAAUACAUAAGAAAAUAGAAUUGGAAUGCAAAGUUAAUAAAUUAAUCAUGUUAUAAACAAUAUGAACAUAGAAGCAAAAAUUGCAUGGUCUUUGGCAUGCAGUCUUUGAUUUGGGGAAUACAUUUUUUCUAUUGUUAUCAGGAAGAAAGAACAGAAACAGUUCAUAUUCACAUGGACUAGACAAAAGUAUGCAUUUAUGUGCUUACUCCAGAGGUAUAUCAAGUCCCCCAAUUUUUCCUAAUCUAGUCCAAAGAGAAUUGAACUGUCUGGACCAUCAGCAAAACAUUGGUACACUGUAUUGAUAGUAUCAUUUAAAUCUUCAAUGAGCAAGAAGUGUCAAGUAAGUUAUAGAUUUUGUUAAGCCCUGCAUGCUCCAGAGGGUGGGAGAGAAACACAAAAACCAUUCAUCGACCUGGUUCGUGAAUGAAAGUUUUUAGGAUCUGUGAAAUUCUGAGACAUUUCCUCCAAAGUAAAGUCUCAUUGUUGUAUCUCGAAGCUCCCGUCACUUAGAAGGGAGCACGGUGCUCACCAUGUUUCUCUGAGCUGUGAAAGCGGUGCGUUCCACACUUGGAGACCCUUCUCUGACACAUUUACCAACAGAUACUGGAUUAAAAUAUUAACAAAUUGAAUCCAGCAUUAUCUGUAAAGCAUAACGCACCAUGAGUUAGGGGAGAUUGCCUCGGGAAUAAAAAAUUAGUUAAGCAUUGAAAAGUCAAUUAAAUGUAAUAUACUACAUUAACAAAAAAAAACGCAUGUAAUCAUCUCACUAGAUGCAGAAGAAAUAUUGGACCAAAUUUGCCAUUCAUUCGUGGUGUUUAAAAAAUAUCCCAGUAAACUACGUAUAGAAGGAAAAUUCCUCAGAUGAAUAAUGGGCGUUUAAGAAAUUCCUACAACUAGCAAUAGAGUUAAUAGUGGAAGAAUAAAUAUGUACCCUUUAAUAUUGGAGAAAAGUGCAAAAUAUCUGUUCUUACUACUUCUACAUUUUACUGAAAGUCCUAGCUAGUGCCAGAAAGUAAGGAACGCAUGAAUGAAGAAUAAAUGGCAUACUCACUUUAGAAUAAGAAAAAUAUAUUCAUUUGCAAGCAACAUGAUCAGAUACACAAAAAAUCCUAGUGCAUCUACAAAAAUAAGCAUUAUAAGUAAAUGCAGCUAUGUCACAGAUUACAAUAUACAAAAAUUAAUUGUAUUUCUAUGUACUAGCAUCAAAAAAAUGGAAAAUUAAAUUACCACUUUCAAUAGGUUUAAAACAAAUGAAAUAUUUAGAGAUAAACUUGUCAAUGUGCACAGGACUUGUACCUAGAAAUCUACAAAAGAUGGCUGAGAAAAACUCAGGAAAACUUGAAUAAUUGGUGCUGUUUGACAUAUUUACAGAUUGAAAAAGAAAUUGACAAGCUUAUUCUGAAGGACCUAGAGUAACCUAAAUAAUUAGGAAAAGAAAAACAAAGAGGACUUACACCAGGUGAUGUCAAGACUUAUUAUAAAGCUAAGGAUCCCGACUCAGAUUGAAAAAGCAGAGGAUGGUCACUGCCUUCCAGGUCUGAGGCUGUCUCCCAGAAACUUCAUUCCUCGCUUCGCCUUGGUUCUCCAUCACUUUCUGAGUCCUACAGGAGGAAAGUGCUAUUGAAGAUGAGGCGCGUAUGGCGUGAAGUUCUGGGGCUGGGAGAAGCUGCCCCGCUACUUCCGGGUGGCCUUGCCUGCAGGGAGCAGUUUGUAUUCCCCGUUGUUUCUCCUGUUGACGACAUCUGUGCCUCUUAUCUGGGAGAAGAUCAGAGGAAACUGCCGCCUCCCCCAAGCACGUGUUUUACUGCUCCCCAUUUCACAACCUAGUGCUGUCCACUUGCAUGGGAUGUUUCUUUUCCAUCACAAUGCUCUGAGAUAACGAAGUCGAGGGAAGUUUGUGCAGCCCUCCAGACCCUCCAGAUUUCAAAGGAAAGCCCACCGCUGCUGGUCUGGGGGAGCUGAUGGCCUAUUCAUGGAUGAGAUGGACUAAGGACAGUGGGAAGCACAAUGGACCAACAGUAUUGUUGGAGGGGACUGCGUGAGGAAGCAGGAGCCUAAACAACACUCUCCAGAUACUGCGUGAACACUGUC
This 3285-nucleotide long non-coding RNA is filed under the name Homo sapiens (human). Its description in RNAcentral is "HSALNT0334792". Lineage: Eukaryota; Metazoa; Chordata; Mammalia; Primates; Hominidae. The record is from RNAcentral.